GUCUACAGCCAUGCCACCCUGAACAAGCCCAAUCCUGUCUGAUCUCGGAAGCUAAGCAGGGUCGGGCCUGGUUAGUACUUGGAUGGGAGACAACCUAGGAAGACCAGAUGCUGUAGGCA
This 119-nucleotide ribosomal RNA is filed under the name Pteropus alecto (black flying fox). RNAcentral also lists the same sequence under 1 other name. The record is from RNAcentral. Lineage: Eukaryota; Metazoa; Chordata; Mammalia; Chiroptera; Pteropodidae.